Molecule: ribosomal RNA, 453 nt
Filed under: uncultured bacterium
Lineage: Bacteria
Description: partial 16S ribosomal RNA
Rfam family: Bacterial small subunit ribosomal RNA
Source: RNAcentral
CCUACGGGGGGCAGCAGUGGGGGAUAUUGCACAAUGGGGGGAACCCUGAUGCAGCGACGCCGCGUGGGUGAAGGAGCGUUUCGGCGCGUAAAGCCCUAUCGGCAGGGAAGAAGGAGGACGGUACCUGACUAAGAAGCCCCGGCUAACUACGUGCCAGCAGCCGCGGUAAUACGUAGGGGGCAAGCGUUAUCCGGAUUUACUGGGGGUAAAGGGGGCGCAGACGGCAGCGCAAGCCAGGAGUGAAAGCCCGGGGCCCAACCCCGGGACUGCUCUUGGAACUGCAUUUGAAACUGUUUUUCUUGAGUACCGGGGAGGUCAUCGGAAUUCCUUGUGUAGCGGUGAAAUGCGUAGAUAUAAGGAAGAACACCAGUGGCGAAGGCGGCUUGCUGGACAGUAACUGACGUUGAGGCUCGAAAGCGUGGGGAGCAAACAGGAUUAGAUACCCCUGUAGUC